This 433-nucleotide ribosomal RNA is filed under the name uncultured bacterium. RNAcentral's name for it is "partial 16S ribosomal RNA". It matches the Rfam family "Bacterial small subunit ribosomal RNA", at positions 29 to 507 of the family's 1533-position model. The record is from RNAcentral.
AACGAACGCUGGCGGCAUGCCUAACACAUGCAAGUCGAACGAAGGCUUCGGCCUUAGUGGCGCACGGGUGCGUAACGCGUGGGAAUCUGCCCUUUGGUUCGGAAUAACAGCUGGAAACGGCUGCUAAUACCGGAUGAUGACGAAAGUCCAAAGAUUUAUCGCCAGAGGAUGAGCCCGUGUUGGAUUAGGUAGUUGGUGGGGUAAAGGCCUACCAAGCCGACGAUCCAUAGCUGGUCUGAGAGGAUGAUCAGCCACACUGGGACUGAGACACGGCCCAGACUCCUACGGGAGGCAGCAGUGGGGAAUAUUGGACAAUGGGCGCAAGCCUGAUCCAGCAAUGCCGCGUGAGUGAUGAAGGCCCUAGGGUUGUAAAGCUCUUUUACCCGGGAAGAUAAUGACUGUACCGGGAGAAUAAGCCCCGGCUAACUCCGUG